AAUAUUAGGGUAGAAUAUUUGUACUAUAAGCCAUCGACGUAUUAGUAAGUGGUUUCGCAUCCGUGGAACAUGGACGAGGAAGAAGAGACGCGACUAAUUGCGCCGCGCCGGUAUUCCGGAAUUGCUUUAAAGCAUUAGCUGGAACGUCGCGGAGAGGUAUACAACCCCCCAAGAUGGCUGCUCCCGGGCGUAUCGACGUUUGGCGUUUGCAGGGUUUCCCAGAGGCGCUAACGACGCUGGAGGAAGGGAAAUAUGCGGCGUCGCAUCCGGUAAUCUCCAACGUCCCAGCUCGUCGCUCCAAGUGGCCGUGGAUCUGACGGCGGCGACAUCGCGAAACGGACAUCCGGGUCGAAGAUGAGGAACCAUCGCGUCGCAUAUUUGCGAGUCUAUCUCCGGUAGCACCAGUCCUCGCUUGCCUCUCAGACCCAGCAAGAUCCACCAGGUGAAGCCUUCCUCUCUUUACCGUAUUCUCAGUCUUACUGCUCUCUUCGUUAAUGGCCAGCGUUUCCAAGGAUAACGUCAACACAGCGUGACUUCUAGAGCUGGCUGCGUUCAUUUUAGUAGCUGCAGCAGCUCUUCUUCUAUCGCCUUGUUCGACCAGUCGCGCGCAUUCCGCCGCAUCUUUCACCGUCACCUCUCUCAAACCUCCAGCCACGUAAGUUCCACGAUUGGGAUCCUCUUUCAAGGUAACUCAGCAAGGCCAAGUAUCUCAUUUCCGCGCUGGCCGUCGACGUGGCCUCGAAGAUGUGGUCUAAAGUACGUUCGAUGAAUCCGCGCAUUGUGUGCGAUUUGCCGCAUCCUGUUUGUCCGUAUGCAAACACGGUGCCAUUGUAGCCGUCCAGUACAGCCUCCACUAUGACCGAACCAACGUUUUCGUAGACAAAUUCCGUAGUUGCUUCCGGACCGAAGGCGGCGUCAAAUUGGUACACCUUGCCGUUUCCGGGGCCUGCGGCUGCUGGACACUCGAGGGUGCAGCAUUUUGACGCAGAGUCGAUCGUUACCACGUUCUGCACAGCUCUUUAAUAAAUCUCAAAGUUAAAGAAUCGAGGACUGUCUGCAGUGUAUAACGAAAGAAUGCGAAGACGCAGGGGGAAUGGAAAAAAAGGAUAGAGACGCAAAAAGUAACGCAGAUCGGAGGAAGAAUGGAGAAGAAAUAAGAGACUGGAAUCAAGGAAGAAGAGCGCAAUCGCGUGUAAUAUCAUGUGUAAUAACGUACGAUCAAAGUACAGAUAUAACGCGAUAUACUGCAACAUAAAUUAAGGUCACCGUACAUUUACGAAACACCGUGACUUGGAAAAAUGUUUUCUAAAGUUCGUAGUGUGCAUGUAGUUUUCCGUUGUGCAAAUAUUUUCCUGUUUAGUCCAUUCUUAAAAACGAACUACGUGUAUAAAAGAGGAUAAACGUUCAAAAAUGUUCCUGCCUUUAUUAAUAACCGGUUUUUGUAAAUUUAAUCCGAGCGGAAUAUCGAUCGAGCAAAGGACUUUGCGUUUGAAAUUAAAACCUAUGACUGCGCUACUCCCGUAAUUUACAAGUAACGCCCGCAAGAACGAUCAAAGUUAUUCAACUUUUUUAUAAAACUAAUCGAUCGAUCAAUCAUUUAUCAAUCGCGUUAUGUCGCUACAUCUCUAUACUCGUUAUGCAAAACUAUCUGUGUAACGUGGUUAUUACUUGCAACGUCGGUUUAGCGAUAGUUCGUAGUUCAUAUUCAUAUCGAUCGAAUUUCGCGGAAAUAAUAAUAAAACGCGAUUGUCGCUUCUUCCUAUUUCAGUAUCGUAACUAAAUUAUCGAUUCGAGCUUCUUUUCUCAUUUUUCAUUCGAUACAUCGAGCAAAUAAGUUUCACGGAUAUAAUUAAAAGCCAGUUGCUACGCUAGAUAACCGCGAUAUUUUUAAGAUCGAGUUAAUUUCAAAUUUAGAUUAAUUUAAAAUCGAGCACUCUGAUUAAAAUUUCCGUAGUGACACGUGAUUCAACAACGUUGGUCGAGAGUUAAACCUGAUAUAAUAAAAUGAAACUAAAUUACCUUAAAAUUAAAUUAAAAUUGUAGAGCGGGCUACGAUCCAACAAAAUAUUAAUUAACAAUUAGACUUGACAUAACGAAUACUUUAAAUGCAUCGAACAGCAAAAUACGAAAUAACGAAUACUUUUCCUGAUAAUUCCUGUAUCUUAAAUCAUUUUACAUUUCUAUAUGCAUGUGUACGUCGUGUAUUCCUACGUUAUCAAACUUAAUAAAAUUGAACGAAUACAGCAUACAACGAAUUCUUUUAACAGGCUCAACAUUCUAUACUUCCUAAGUAAUGAAAAACAAAGGUAAAUACAAUUAAAAGGAAAGAAAAUUUGUAUACUAUCUGUCACGUGUUGACUCGAAGACCCUUUCCACUUUCAUCGUACGUCCAUCAACGUAUCUCACAGCUACGUAUCACGGACCAUCGUGUACGGUGAGUCGUCGUUAAAUUUACUAUUCCAUAAGAUAUUCAAAAGGUAACGUAGGCACGCUAAGCUGAUCGGUGCAUACACGAUGCAUAGAUAGUGGUAUCGAACCACGUCGUUGCACACAUCGUU
Molecule: long non-coding RNA, 2558 nt
Organism: Bombus pascuorum
Lineage: Eukaryota; Metazoa; Arthropoda; Insecta; Hymenoptera; Apidae
Exons: 5
Source: RefSeq, a predicted model, not a curated record